UACGGGGGGAGCAAGCGUUGUUCGGAUUUACUGGGCGUAAAGGGCGCGUAGGCGGCCAGCGCAAGUCAGUUGUGAAAUCUCCGAGCUUAACUCGGAAAGGUCAACUGAUACUGCGCGGCUAGAGUGCAGAAGGGGCAACUGGAAUUCUUGGUGUAGCGGUGAAAUGCGUAGAUAUCAAGAGGAACACCUGCGGCGAAGGCGGGUUGCUGGGCUGACACUGACGCUGAAGCGCGAAAGCGUGGGGAGCAAACAGG
This 254-nucleotide ribosomal RNA is filed under the name uncultured bacterium. Its description in RNAcentral is "partial 16S ribosomal RNA". It matches the Rfam family "Bacterial small subunit ribosomal RNA", at positions 524 to 776 of the family's 1533-position model. The record is from RNAcentral.